Molecule: long non-coding RNA, 3995 nt
Organism: Orcinus orca (killer whale)
Lineage: Eukaryota; Metazoa; Chordata; Mammalia; Artiodactyla; Delphinidae
Exons: 4
Source: RefSeq, a predicted model, not a curated record
UUAAUUACAUGUUUGAUUAGCUUUGUUGUAAGUCUUAUUUGCUAUCGACGCUGAACUCUUCUGUGAGUUCAGCCUUCAUGGUGUGGAGGACGUGAUUACUAGAAGUAUAAGGAAGGACUGGAAUGUGGGCAGAGUCCCAACCAAGGAGCACCUGUCAGGAAACAAUGCGGCCAGAUGGAAUGUAUUGAAAGACCAAGGGGUUAAGAGCAGUGCUAGAGACAGAGAACAGAGACACCUUCAGAAAGCAGGUGGGCACAGAGCAGAGAGGGGGCUGGAGAAAAGGCAGAAGCAGGGUGGAGACUGCACCACACCAAGCAUAGGCUAGGGGCAAGUGCAGAUGAACUGGGGCUGACAUAGCUGGGGCACCUGGUAUGCAGGUACAUAUUUAAGGAUCUGAAGAUGAUAUUGGAUCCACGGGACAAACUCAGUGCAUUUAAAAAGGUUUGGAUAUGGCGGGUGUACCUUUCAAGGAUCAAAACUGGAGAAAAUACACGAAUGUUGACAGCAGCACUAUUCACAACAGGCAAAAGGUAGAAACAACCCAAAUGCCCACUGAGUCAUGAACGGAUAAACAAGAUGUGGUCCGUCCAUACAAGGAAAUACUGUUCAGCCUUAAAAAGGAAGGGGGAAAUUCUGACACCUGCUACAACAUGGAUGAACCUUGAGGACGAUACAGCAAGUGAAAUAAGCCAGACAUAAAAGGGCAAAUCCAGUGUGAUUCCGCUUGUAUGAGGUUCCCGGAAGAGGCACAGUCAUGACGAGGAAGUAGAACAGAGGUUACGAGGGCUGCGGGAGAGGGAGUGGGGGGUUAUGUUUAACGGGGAUAGAAUGUCCAUUCGGGAAGGUGGAAAAGCUCUGGAGGUGGAUGGUGGUGAUGGCCGCACAGCAAUGUAAAUGUAUGUAAUUCUACUCAAACGUACAUUCAGAAUUGUACGGUAUGUAUAUUUUACCACAAUAAGAAAUCUAGAAGAAGGUUGGGAUAUUGAGGGAGGAGACAACAGGAGGCAAAACCGUUUUAAGGUUGUUCCCUGGGGCACCAGCUUUAAGCAGAGGAUGGGCACAGACAAGGACAUGGCAGGCUGAGGGGCCCUACACCUGGGGACAGACAAGAAGGGCCGGCAGGCCGGCCACGCCCAGUGGACCACGUGCUCCCUCCUCAUCUGCAGGUAAGUUUGGCUUGUUCCCACUGCAGCCCCAUCUCUGCAGCUCCCGUCCCAGUUCUAAUUACAGCCGCGGUGAUGCCAGGAUCACAGCGCAGAACACAGGCUAGAAUUCAGAGUCGGCCGGUGAACAUUCACAUGUAGCAAGAAAGGCACCAAACUGGGGGAGGGAUGGAUUGGGAGUUUGGGAUUAGCAGAUGCAAACUAUUAUACAGAAAAGGGAUAAACAGCAAGGUCCUACUGUAUAGCACAGGGAACUAUAUUCAAUAUCCCAUGAUAAAACAUAACUGAAAAGAAUAUGAAAAAGAAUAUAUAUAUGUGUAACUGAGUCACUUUGUUGUCCAGCAGAAACUAACAUAUUUGUAAGUCAACUAUACUUCAAUAAAAUAAAUUUAAGUGAGCAGUUGGGGCAAAUUCUGGACAAAAGAUACAAAGAGACCAAAAAAAAAAACCUAACUUCCAAUUUUGAAGAGCCUGGAGCAAAAACUGGGUGUCAGGAUCAGAAGCAGGGUACUGCGCCUGCCCCCUGCACGCAACACCACCUAAGGGGUGGGCAAAACACCUAAGCCACCCCUCUGGCUCAACCCUUGGACACACCCUUACCCUCACCCCCUAUAAGGAACAAGCUCCCCCACACACACAGGGAGCGAGACAGCGAGGGAACCUGUUGUUUGUUCUCACUCCCUCCUGCAGCAGCAGGGGCCCCAAUAAAGAGCCUUGCCUGAAAUAAUUAAUUAAUUUAAAAACUUUUAAAAGAAAGACACAAAACUGAACCCAAGAAAUAGAUGUCUUUGGAUAUUUAUCUAAAGAAAUACUCCUUUUAGGUUAGCUGUGACAAAGUGAGAGAGUGGCAUGGACAUAUAUACACUACCAAACGUAAAAUAGAUAGCUAGUGGGAAGCAGCCGCAUAGCACAGGGAGAUCAGCUCGGUGCUUUGUGACCACCUAGAGGGGUGGGAUAGGGAGGGUGGGAGGGAGACGCAAGAGGGAAGAGAUAUGGGAACAUAUGUAUAUGUAUAACUGAUUCACUUUGUUAUAAAGCAGAAACUAACACACCAUUGUAAAGCAAUUAUAGUCCAAUAAAGAUGUUAAAAAAAAAAAGAAAUACUCCUUUUAAAAAUGCCUACCAUUUGCUAUCCUGAGCUGUUUUGGUUUUUAAGAUUAUAUUUUUAUAAAAGGAAAAGCAUCGCGGAUGAUUAGCAUGACAUCCUAGUAUCUUCGUGUAGAUGGUGUGAUUGACACACACGGAAGAUGUGUGUCGGGUUGAAGCCUGUAGGUCAGGGCCGGAUGGAGGCUGAACCUCCUCGAGGGACCACAGAGCCACCCUGUCACCGAGGUCCCUGCUGCCCAGGCCUGCUUAGCGCUGCUCCAUGUGUCUUUUCCAUACGGUGGGCAGCUGCUCUGUGGGUUUAGUUAGCAAGUGGUGGGAGCGAUUCAUCGUCGCCCGGCACCUCUUAAUCACAUUUUAAUAAAACCAUAAAUCAGCACCUCACAGCAAGAUAAAUCCCCAGAAGGCACGGCAGUGCCAUAGGAACAGGAGUCAAACCAGAUGGCAUGGGUGAUUCGGGGACACCUGGGUAUCAGUAGUGCCCAGCGGGCAAGGCCCUGUGGGGCGUGAGCACCUAGAAUCUAUGGCAACAGCCAAGCGUAACCCAGGGCCUCUCCCGAGAGCUCAGUCCUAGAUCUGGGCUUAGGAGCCAGGUUUAGGGUUAUAUUCAGCCCAUAAGCACCUGCACAGCCAUACCUGUUGAUAGAAUAUUGAAAUGGUUCCCUACCAGAUGCUAUGGACUGAGUGUGUGUGUCCCCCCCCAAAUCUGUAUGUUGAAACUAACCCCUAAUGUGAUGGUAUUUGAAGGUGGGGGCUUUAGGGGUGAUUAGGUCAUAGGGUGGAGCCCUCAGGAAUGGGAUUCAUGCCCUCAUAAUGGGUUGGAGAGACCAGAGCACUGUCUCUCCAAGAAGACAGCCGUCUGCCAAACUAGGAAGAGAGCCCUCACCACCAGACACCCAAUCUGCCAGCACCUUGAUCUUGGACACCCAGCCUCCGGACCGUGAGAAAUAGAUGUCUACUGUUUAAGCCCCACAGUCUGUGGUACCUGUUAUAGCAGCCUGAACGGACUAAGACACCAGAUGAUAAAUGUCCACAGCCCCAAGGUCCCAAAUGACCUUCCUGCCGCCCCCCAACCCUGUGACCUCAUCUGUGACCUGGUAAACCUCACCACCACCAAACAAGUAAAAGGUUAGCCCUGGCCCAGCAGGGAACCUGCCCUCCUGCUGCGGUGGAGCCCUUUCUGAUGGGUGGAUGCCCUGCUGCCCUGAUAGUUAAAUGUUUUUAGUAUCACUGCCAUCUGUGCUGCUUUAAUUUAUAUCACACAGAUGAGAGCAGCCCAGCCUAAAAGGAUGCAGAGUGGAGCAGGAAAAGUUAAUUCUGACAUAAUCAGAAUGGCUUCAGGUUGUGACUUUUGUAGAAGAGCUGGGUGAUGAUUUACUGCUGGUCCCAUGACAUUUGACAUUCCCAAGCUUGAAGGGCGUGCAGCCAGCAGUCAGCUGAGGUCAGCUCGCGCCAGCACCCAAGAGCCCAUGGGAGCAUCUCUCUCGUCCCCCCAUCAGGACACCACAUGGGAAGCUGGGAAUCAGACCUAGUAGAAUGGAGUGACUGCCUUGGGCCAACACUCGGAACACUGGGUACAGGAGAUCCAGACCCUGCUCUACCCUUGGAACUGGAAGGGGUCUCUAGGGGCAGCUGGGUGGGAGGGAAAGAGAGAAGGGUGGGUUGCAGAUGCAGCCUAUCACAUGCCAGUGGGAAUGGCUGUCCUCUCCAAGAUCCCAUUCACCUUUA